RNAcentral lists this ribosomal RNA (447 nucleotides) under uncultured bacterium. RNAcentral's name for it is "partial 16S ribosomal RNA". It matches the Rfam family "Bacterial small subunit ribosomal RNA", at positions 29 to 523 of the family's 1533-position model. The record is from RNAcentral.
AACGAACGCUGGCGGCAGGCUUAACACAUGCAAGUCGAACGCCCCGCAAGGGGAGUGGCAGACGGGUGAGUAACGCGUGGGAACGUACCUUUCAGUUCGGAAUAACUCAGGGAAACUUGUGCUAAUACCGGAUACGCCCGCAAGGGGAAAGAUUUAUCGCUGAAAGAUCGGCCCGCGUUGGAUUAGCUAGUUGGUGGGGUAAAGGCCUACCAAGGCGACGAUCCAUAGCUGGUCUGAGAGGAUGAUCAGCCACACUGGGACUGAGACACGGCCCAGACUCCUACGGGAGGCGGCAGUAGGGAAUAUUGGACAAGGGGCGAAAGCCUGAUCCAGCCAUGCCGCGUGUGUGAUGAAGGCGUUAGGGUUGUAAAGCACUUUCACCGAUGAAGAUAAUGACGGUAGUCGGAGAAGAAGCCCCGGCUAACUUCGUGCCAGCAGCCGCGGUAA